This 1382-nucleotide ribosomal RNA is filed under the name uncultured Bacteroidota bacterium. Its description in RNAcentral is "uncultured Bacteroidetes bacterium partial 16S ribosomal RNA". It matches the Rfam family "Bacterial small subunit ribosomal RNA". The record is from RNAcentral. Lineage: Bacteria; Pseudomonadati; Bacteroidota.
UUGCCCUUGGGUUCGGAAUAACUCAGAGAAAUUUGAGCUAAUACCGGAUGAUGACGUAAGUCCAAAGAUUUAUCGCCCAAGGAUGAGCCCGCGUAAGAUUAGCUUGUUGGUAGGGUAACGGCCUACCAAGGCGACGAUCUUUAGCUGGUCUGAGAGGAUGAUCAGCCACACUGGGACUGAGACACGGCCCAGACUCCUACGGGAGGCAGCAGUGGGGAAUAUUGGACAAUGGGCGAAAGCCUGAUCCAGCAAUGCCGCGUGAGUGAUGAAGGCCUUAGGGUUGUAAACCUCUUUUAGCAGGGAAGAAGCGAAAGUGACGGUACCUGCAGAAAAAGCGCCGGCUAACUACGUGCCAGCAGCCGCGGUAAUACGUAGGGCGCAAGCGUUAUCCGGAAUUAUUGGGCGUAAAGAGCUCGUAGGCGGUCUGUCGCGUCUGCUGUGAAAACCCGAGGCUCAACCUCGGGCCUGCAGUGGGUACGGGCAGACUAGAGUGCGGUAGGGGAGAUUGGAAUUCCUGGUGUAGCGGCGGAAUGCGCAGAUAUCAGGAGGAACACCGAUGGCGAAGGCAGAUCUCUGGGCCGUAACUGACGCUGAGGAGCGAAAGGGUGGGGAGCAAACAGGCUUAGAUACCCUGGUAGUCCACCCCGUAAACGUUGGGAACUAGUUGUGGGGGCCUUUCCCGGUCUCCGUGACGCAGCUAACGCAUUAAGUUCCCCGCCUGGGGAGUACGGCCGCAAGGCUAAAACUCAAAGGAAUUGACGGGGACCCGCACAAGCGGCGGAGCAUGCGGAUUAAUUCGAUGCAACGCGAAGAACCUUACCAAGGCUUGACAUAUAGAGGAAACGUCUGGAAACAGUCGCCCCGCAAGGUCUCUAUACAGGUGGUGCAUGGUUGUCGUCAGCUCGUGUCGUGAGAUGUUGGGUUAAGUCCCGCAACGAGCGCAACCCUCGUUCUAUGUUGCCAGCACGUAAUGGUGGGAACUCAUGGGAUACUGCCGGGGUCAACUCGGAGGAAGGUGGGGAUGACGUCAAAUCAUCAUGCCCCUUAUGUCUAGGGCUUCACGCAUGCUACAAUGGCCGGUACAAAGGGCUGCAAUACCGUGAGGUGGAGCGAAUCCCAAAAAGCCGGUCCCAGUUCGGAUUGAGGUCUGCAACUCGACCUCAUGAAGUCGGAGUCGCUAGUAAUCGCAGAUCAGCAACGCUGCGGUGAAUACGUUCCCGGGUCUUGUACACACCGCCCGUCAAGUCAUGAAAAGUCGGUAACACCUGAAGCCGGUGGCCUAACCCUUGUGGAAGGAAGCCGUCGAAGGUGGGAUCGGUAAUUAGGACUAAGUCGUAACAAGGUAACCAAGGGCGAAUUNCACACACUGGCGGGCCGUUACU